This 3815-nucleotide long non-coding RNA is filed under the name Mytilus galloprovincialis (Mediterranean mussel). Lineage: Eukaryota; Metazoa; Mollusca; Bivalvia; Mytilida; Mytilidae. The record is from RNAcentral.
AGGUGAAGGGGAAGAUGGACAAGGAGUGUAAUAUUUGAGCAAUAUCCCUAAUGUCAUAUUGAAUUAAAAAAAAGUGAGUAAAACUUAACUCAGAAAAUCUUUAUAUAGAUAUAGGAAGAUGUGGUAUGAGUGCCAAUGAGACAACUCUCCAUCCAAAUAACAAUUUAUAAGAGUAAACCUUUAUACGUCAAAGUACGGCCUUUAACACGGAGCCUUGGCUCACACCAAACAGCAAGCUAUAACUUAGGGCCCCAAAAAUUACUAAUGUAAAACCAUUAAUUCAAAUGGGAAAACCAACCGUCUAAUCUAUAUAAAAUAGUUAUCAAAGGUACCAGGAUUAUAAUUUAGUACGCCAGACGCGUGUUUCGUCUACAUAAGACUCAUCAGUGACGCUCAUAUCAAAAUAUUAUAAAGCCAAACAAGUACAAAGUUGAAGAGCAUUGAGGAUCCAAAAUUCCAAAAAGUUGUGCCAAAUACGAGUAUAUUUUUUUUUUUUUUACCAUUCAGAAAUCUUCCAAAGAAACAAAUCAAGAAAAAAUUGAUCAAAAUUAUAUUAUAAUGUCCAUAUAACACAAAUAUUUAAGGUAGAAUUCUGUUUAGCAUAUAUUUAUGUCAAUAUAAAAUUCUUGACAAUAAUGAAGGGAACAAAUAUAAAAUGAAAUAAACUCUGGUGCAUAGUUUUUUUAUUGGUAUUUUUUUAUUUCUAAAUACAAAUGUAACAAUCAUAUAUACUUUAAAUGUGUAACUGAAAUUAUGUUAUCUUCCCGUUUCAGUAAAGACAAACUUUUCCCAUUUUUUUAUUUUUUAAAGAGGAAAUUUUAUCACUGCACUACUAAAUGACAAAGUUUGAAAAAUCCAUUUAAGUAAAACCUCCUUCCCUUCAACUUAAUGACUUGACUCAUUUCAAAUAAUUCUAAAUAUAUUAUUCUAUGAAUAAACACUUAAAUUUAUACAUCAAAACUUAUUAAAUAUCCAACAAGGAAAAGUUGUUUGUAAUGAUUCUACAAAAGAUUAACUUCAUUAAAUCUGUGAAAAUAUUCUAUAACUAUUGAGUUAUCUCCCUUUAAUACUUAUAAUAUAUGUAUGUACAACCUAACUUGAAUAAUUCAGUGCCCACUAUCCACUACUUUUCUCAGUAGUGGAGUGAUCGUAGUGAUCGUAAUAUAACGAUUGGAUUAUUCGGGUUAAUGUACAACCAUACACUAAAAACUCUGCCACUCCAGUAGAUAUGUUAAUCUAUACUAUUAAACUAGAAGACCUCAUUUUGUGUGUCGCUUCUCUUCCUUCCACAAUAAAUCAAUCAUCAUGCCUCUGUGUCUAUAGGUACAUGCAUAGUCGCAUUUGUCAUCCAUUCUUAUGAUUAUUCAGGUUGAGUUAUUUAAUGAGAAAAAUGACAAAAAAGGAGUCCGGAUAUCAUUUCGUCAUCGGACUGACUUUUAGUCAUAGAUAAGACUUCCGGUUUGAAACCUUCACAAAUACAACCAAUCGUAUGAUAAAUAACAAAAAUGAAAAAUAAAUAAGCCAACAGAGCGUUCUCCAUACAUGUGUUUAGAUCGCAAGAACCACAAACUAUUACCACCUUAGAGAGGACAAUUAUUUUUCGCGUUUCAUAUCAUGGUGUUUUGAUCGCAAGAACCACAACCUUUAUACAUCCUUAGAGAGGACAAUUAUUUUUCGCGUUUCAUAUCAUGGUGUUUUGAUCGCAAGAACCACAAUUAUUAUACCUCCCUGGAGGGGACAAAUAUUUUUCGCGAUUAUCUACAUGUAAACUACGAUUAUACUACUUUAAUAUAUAGAGACUCUGUAUUCUGUCAGGGACUUUCUAUGUGAGUAUAGAAAGUCCCUGCUUCUGUCUACUGUUUUCUUUGAAAUGUUUACUAUUUAAGGGGUCAUACCACUUGCAUAUUUCUUAAAAUAAGUAAAACAUGCUCAACUUCAUCUAAAACUACCUUGACAAAAACUUUAACCUGAAGCGGGACAGACGACGGACGACCGAACGAACGCACGGAUGCACAGACUAGAAAACAUAAUGCCCAUAAAUGGGCAUAAAAAAUCUAUUGUUGAAAGGGAAAAUAGUGAUUGGCAAAAAAUGAAAGUAAGGUAGAGAUUAGAGGGAGGCAGGACCUUUUUUGGGGCGUCGGAUCGGGAUUUGGGGAGUGAACCUCACGGGAUCCGAGAAUAUAUUUUUCGAUUUUGGGAUUUCAGGAUAUGAAUUGCAUCUCCUUAUUACAUGGUUUUAAGCACGAGAUUUCGGGAUCAGGACCCCUCCGACAAACCCCUCGAAUUAGCCUUAGUUGGUCUUAGUCAUUUAUACAUGAUUCAUAUCCUACCAUUGGCAUGUUAAUAAGCCUCUCAAAAGAAAAAGAACUGAUGGAUUGUCCUUGAAGCAUAUUUUAUUAGACUAAUAAUGGUCUAUAUAUAAGCAGUUACAUUUAUUUCAUGUUUUAAACGGUUGCAAAUUUUAUUUUAUUUGACUUUUACCAAAAGAAGCAUUGUAUCAAAGGAGAAGAAUAGUUGUGGUCUGAGGCCAGAUGCACGAAAAUAAUUGAAUUUAACAGAAAGGAAACAAAUAUCGGACUUUGGGAGGGCUUUUGAUACCUUUUAUGAAAUUCUCCAUACAUAAUAUCUUUUACAAAAAUUCAUCCUACAACAGUUCACAAGCUGUAUAUGCCCGCGAUUUCGCGGGUGUGUUCUAGUAAUAAUUUUAAAAAAACUGUCCUUCCAAUAAUAUAUUGAUAAUUAAAUUAAAUAAAGUUUAGCCUGUCCCCAAUAAUAAUAAUAAAACUGUCAACUCAAAUUGAGUUAAUGAUAUGCAAUGAAAAUAAAAAAUGAAAUUAUGGAGGUAAUCAGCAAAUUAAAAAAAAACAUAAAAUAUUGGUAUAAGUUGUCAUUUAAGAGCCAUAACUCAUAUAAAGAGUCCACAAACAAUAUCAGCAAGAUUGACUUAUUUGUAGAUCUUGACUUGCGGAUCAUUUUUGCUAUCCAUGUUUCUAUCUAUUUAUUACAGUUAAUUCAAAAUAGUAGAUAAUAACACAUACAAUUAAUUGAAAAAAAUCGCAAUUAAAAGGUAAUAACUCCUAUUAGAAGCAUGAUCAUCUCUUUUGCCAUAUUAGGUUUCUCACUAUUGGUAAAAUUCAUCAUUUAAGGGAAAUUACUCCUAUAUGAAGUAGUCUGACAGCUUUGAUGUCAAUAGGUAGAUCUCAACCAUUCUGAACAAUUUUGCCAUCAGUUUUUUUUCAGAUUUUUAUCUUUCUAUAGCAGUAUUCAAGAUAAUAGACCAAACUUGCAUUCAACCCCUUCGUUCUAUUUUUAGACAUGUUGGUGCGCAGCUAACAUCCUCAGAUACAGUUUUUUAAAGUAGAAACCCCAAUAAUGAUUGUGAACAAGUUUGUUUUCGAUUGUCCAGUAGUUUCGAAGCAUAUUUUUAGUUAGCACAUGAUGACAACUAUGGACAAGUGUUAAGAAUAGCUAACUUGACCCUUCUGGUCAACAGUUUAUUUUUCAAAUCUUAGCCACCUUGAUAAAUCUUAGUGUGUUAAAUACCACCAAUCACUAAUCAAUCUUUAACAUACAGAUAACUAUAACUGUCUAAAUUUCUCUGAGACAAUUAAAAGUAAAGUAGACAUUUUUUUAUUUUUUUUUAGAGAGAUUUUAAGAGAAAAUCAUUGCUUACAAUUCCAAGGAUAAAAGAUUGUCUAGACAAUAACUCAGAACUAUCUAAAAACCAUUACAAAGUUAGAGAGAGAUCAUCUCGACAAUACUACAGAACCAUUAAGAAACCAUUACAAGCCUAGAGAGAGACUAUCUAGACAAUA